AUGAACGCUGGCGGCGUGCUUAACACCUGCAAGUCGAACGAUGAAGCUCAGCUUGCUGGGUGGAUUAGUGGCGAACGGGUGAGUAACACGUGAGUAACCUGCCCUUAACUCUGGGAUAAGCCUGGGAAACUAGGUCUAAUACCGGAUAGGAGCGCCUACCGCAUGGUGGGUGUUGGAAAGAUUUAUCGGUUUUGGAUGGACUCGCGGCCUAUCAGCUUGUUGGUGAGGUAAUGGCUCACCAAGGCGACGACGGGUAGCCGGCCUGAGAGGGUGACCGGCCACACUGGGACUGAGACACGGCCCAGACUCCUACGGGAGGCAGCAGUGGGGAAUAUUGCACAAUGGGCGAAAGCCUGAUGCAGCGACGCCGCGUGAGGGAUGACGGCCUUCGGGUUGUAAACCUCUUUCAGUAGGGAAGAAGCGAAAGUGACGGUACCUGCAGAAGAAGCACCGGCUAACUACGUG
Molecule: ribosomal RNA, 465 nt
Filed under: uncultured bacterium
Lineage: Bacteria
Description: partial 16S ribosomal RNA
Rfam family: Bacterial small subunit ribosomal RNA
Source: RNAcentral